This 253-nucleotide ribosomal RNA is filed under the name uncultured bacterium. RNAcentral describes it as "partial 16S ribosomal RNA". It matches the Rfam family "Bacterial small subunit ribosomal RNA", at positions 524 to 776 of the family's 1533-position model. The record is from RNAcentral.
UACAGAGGGUGCAAACGUUGCUCGGAAUUAUUGGGCGUAAAGCGCGUGUAGGCGGCUUGUUAAGUCGGUCGUGAAAGCCCACGGCUCAACCGUGGAAGUGCAACCGAAACUGGCAAGCUUGAGUUCUGAAGAGGAUGGCGGAAUUCCCAGUGUAGAGGUGAAAUUCGUAGAUAUCUGGAGGAACACCGGUGGCGAAGGCGGCAUCCUGGACCGACAUUGACGCUGAGGCGCGAAAGCCAGGGGAGCAAACGGG